RNAcentral lists this ribosomal RNA (537 nucleotides) under Triticum aestivum (bread wheat). Its description in RNAcentral is "partial small subunit ribosomal RNA". The record is from RNAcentral. Lineage: Eukaryota; Viridiplantae; Streptophyta; Magnoliopsida; Poales; Poaceae.
UAUAUUUACUCCAGAGGUUCCAGAAGAGUUGAAACGGUUGUUUACAUGUCAAGCUGAUGAGGAUGCUAAAUAUUUCAGAGAGCAUAUACGAUAUUUCAACUCGCACUUCUCAUUCACAAGUUUAGGAGUCACCCUUGAUCGCCGAGUCAGCAAUGCGGCAGGAACUGGAGUAUAUACUUUUCGUGCGUGUGGCGGGUUGUACCACGCUCUUGAUGAUCUGGUGCCGGCUGAUAAUGGCCCUCGACAUUUCCAACUCUAUAUUUAUGAUACAGAUGAAAACUUGGUUCACAGGGCUAAGAGAUCUCCAGACCUUAAGAUAGAUCUCAUACGGAAGAUUCUGCGAAUACUAGAGCCUAACCCUUAUGCGCAAGUUUUCAAGAGCCUUGGGUCUGUUCCAAAUCUAGAUGAGUAUAGGAUCUCACUAAACGGAUAUCAAGCUGGAUCAACGAAGGUACAAUGCCCCAACGGCUUCUCAGGUGGCAGCGAUAUGGGUUGAAGGGAGUGACCCACAAAAUUGCUUUGACAGGAGUGUUGUCG